This 465-nucleotide ribosomal RNA is filed under the name uncultured Klebsiella sp. RNAcentral's name for it is "bacterial SSU rRNA". It matches the Rfam family "Bacterial small subunit ribosomal RNA", at positions 338 to 795 of the family's 1533-position model. The record is from RNAcentral. Lineage: Bacteria; Pseudomonadati; Pseudomonadota; Gammaproteobacteria; Enterobacterales; Enterobacteriaceae.
CCUACGGGCGGCUGCAGUGGGGAAUAUUGCACAAUGGGCGCAAGCCUGAUGCAGCCAUGCCGCGUGUGUGAAGAAGGCCUUUGGGUUGUAAAGCACUUUCAGCGGGGAGGAAGGCGGUGAGGUUAAUAACCUCAUCGAUUGACGUUACCCGCAGAAGAAGCACCGGCUAACUCCGUGCCAGCAGCCGCGGUAAUACGGAGGGUGCAAGCGUUAAUCGGAAUUACUGGGCGUAAAGCGCACGCAGGCGGUCUGUCAAGUCGGAUGUGAAAUCCCCGGGCUCAACCUGGGAACUGCAUUCGAAACUGGCAGGCUAGAGUCUUGUAGAGGGGGGUAGAAUUCCAGGUGUAGCGGUGAAAUGCGUAGAGAUCUGGAGGAAUACCGGUGGCGAAGGCGGCCCCCUGGACAAAGACUGACGCUCAGGUGCGAAAGCGUGGGGAGCAAACAGGAUUAGAUACCCUAGUAGUC